UGCCAGCAGCCGCGGUAAUACGGAGGGGGUUAGCGUUGUUCGGAAUUACUGGGCGUAAAGCGCACGUAGGCGGACUGGAAAGUUGGGGGUGAAAUCCCAGGGCUCAACCCUGGAACUGCCUCCAAAACUCCUAGUCUAGAGUUCGAGAGAGGUGAGUGGAAUUCCGAGUGUAGAGGUGAAAUUCGUAGAUAUUCGGAGGAACACCAGUGGCGAAGGCGGCUCACUGGGCCGAUAUUGACGCUGAGGCGCGAAGGCGUGGGUAGCGAACGGGAUUAGAUA
Molecule: ribosomal RNA, 279 nt
Filed under: uncultured bacterium
Lineage: Bacteria
Description: partial 16S ribosomal RNA
Rfam family: Bacterial small subunit ribosomal RNA
Source: RNAcentral